UACGGAGGGAGCUAGCGUUGUUCGGAAUUACUGGGCGUAAAGAGUACGUAGGCGGUUAUUCAAGUCCGAGGUGAAAGCCCGGGGCUCAACCCCGGAACUGCCUUUGAAACUACGUAGCUAGAAUCUUGGAGAGGUCAGUGGAAUUCCGAGUGUAGAGGUGAAAUUCGUAGAUAUUCGGAAGAACACCAGGGGCGAAGGCGACUGACUGGACAAGUAUUGACGCUGAGGUACGAAAGCGUGGGGAGCAAACAGGAUUAGAUACCCUGGUAGUCCACGCCGUAAACGAUGAUAACUAGUUGGUCGGGCACUUGGUGCCUGAGUGACGCAGCUAACGCAUUAAGUUAUCCGCCUGGGGAGUACGGUCGCAAGAUUA
Molecule: ribosomal RNA, 373 nt
Filed under: uncultured prokaryote
Description: bacterial SSU rRNA
Rfam family: Bacterial small subunit ribosomal RNA
Source: RNAcentral